GGAUAUGUGAGUGAUCUCGCUGUGACAUCUGUCAUCGCAUAGAUUGCCAGAGUUAAUUUGGCUAAUCUGACUGACUAGGCGGGUGUCCCCUUCCUCCCUCACCUCUCCAUGUGUGUCCUUCCCAAAACUAUGUGCUGGGUGGAAGAGAAUGACCUUCCCUGUUAGAAGGCUAUUUCAUGUACACAUAUAACUGAUUAACAAACAAAAGUAGAUAAAUAAAUGAGUAAAAUAUGUAUUAUUUCUGGCUCCUUCU
RNAcentral lists this small nuclear RNA (253 nucleotides) under Anolis carolinensis (green anole). Its description in RNAcentral is "7SK RNA". It matches the Rfam family "7SK RNA". From Rfam's summary of the family: 7SK was discovered as an abundant small nuclear RNA in the mid-70s but a possible function has only recently been suggested. Two independent studies have found that 7SK RNA binds the CDK9/cyclin T complex (known as elongation factor P-TEFb). P-TEFb activates transcription by phosphorylating the C-terminal domain of RNA polymerase II. The record is from Rfam by way of RNAcentral. Lineage: Eukaryota; Metazoa; Chordata; Lepidosauria; Squamata; Anolidae.